This 497-nucleotide ribosomal RNA is filed under the name uncultured bacterium. Its description in RNAcentral is "partial 16S ribosomal RNA". It matches the Rfam family "Bacterial small subunit ribosomal RNA", at positions 28 to 507 of the family's 1533-position model. The record is from RNAcentral.
GAUGAACGCUGGCGGCGUGCCUAAUACAUGCAAGUCGAGCGAACAGACGAGGAGCUUGCUCCUCUGACGUUAGCGGCGGACGGGUGAGUAACACGUGGAUCACCUACCUAUAAGACUGGGAUAACUUCGGGAAACCGGAGCUAAUCCCGGAUAAUAUAUUGAACCGCAUGGUUCAAUAGUGAAAGACGGUUUUGCUGUCACUUAUAGAUGGAUCCGCGCCGCAUUAGCUAGUUGGUAAGGUAACGGCUUACCAAGGCAACGAUGCGUAGACGACCUGCGAGGGGGAUCGGCCACACUGGAACUGAAACACGGUCCAGACGCCUACGGGAGGCAGCAGUAGGGAAUCUUCCGCAGAGGGCGAAAGCCUGACGGAGCAACGCCGCGUGAGUGAUGAAGGUCUUCGGAUCGUAAAACUCUGUUAUUAGGGAAGAACAAAUGUGUAAGUAACUAUGCACGUCUUGACGGUACCUAAUCAGAAAGCCACGGCUAACUACGUG